Molecule: unclassified non-coding RNA, 1898 nt
Filed under: Hevea brasiliensis (rubber tree)
Lineage: Eukaryota; Viridiplantae; Streptophyta; Magnoliopsida; Malpighiales; Euphorbiaceae
Source: RNAcentral
CCAUUUUAAUAACAUAAAAUCAAUGUUGGGCAACACAACCAAACUGAAAAUUCUCAACUGAAGGCUCUUAAUAAAACAACAAAAUGUAUUUUGAAUUAAAAGCAAUUUGAGUCUUAACUGGUUACGAAAAGUUGAUUUCAAAUAUGAGAAGAAACAUAGAAAGUGAACUUGCAUGCUACUACAUCUCUCUGUUUCUCUAGUUCAGUGGAUUGACAUUUGUGAUGGACUCCAAGUAAGCAGCACAGGUUUAUGAAUCGGUGACUUGAGACAAGACAUCUGUUUAUUUCUGCAACUGUUGCAGCAUUGCUGGCCUUGGGAUAAGAUAUGAAAAAUGACAAUGUUUCAGACAAAAAAGCUUUAAUACCAUAACAUUCUUUAGCUCUUGCAGUUCUUGUUCAAAUUUGAACAUGUCACCGUGAUUGUCAAUGACUCUUGUCACCCUAUCAGUGUCUCACUGCCUGUUGAAUGCAAAUCCAAGCAAAAAAUGGAAAAGUGUCAUGCGCAAGUAUUAAUUAGAAUAAUGUUUUUUUUAUUAACUUUGACUAGAAAAGGCAGAAGCACAACUCAGAUAUUUUGACAGAUAAAAACUGGCUCCAUAUAGCCAUUUCCACAAAACCAGUUAAUGGUCAGUGCAAUUUCAUUACCCCAUACCCAUACUUAAAGCAGCAUGAGUUUCUUCAACAGAAGCCAAUGUACAUUGUGAGAUCUGAAACCUAUGAUACUACAUUUUAUGCACGUAAGCAGAAACAUGGAAAAACUCAUGAAAUUUGUUAAUUUGCCAUCCAUUGAGAGACCAUAUAUCCACAUCAUUUUGUUUCUGCUACAAUUUCAUGGAGACCUAGGUCCACUAAAGUCUCUUUGCCAAAGAGUGUAAAUCCCACAGUUGCCUUUCCGGUCUUGCGAUUUAUUUUCGUCAGGCUGCCUUCAAAUUCUGCAAAAGUCCCAGAUAUGACCCGAACAGUUGAACCUGCAGUCAGGCGCUUGCUGGUCUUUUUUCUAGGUGAACCAUUUACAAGAUGGUCAGAAAUUUUUGUGGAUCCCCCUGUGGGCUUGGAAUCUGUAACUGAUUUUGCGAUAUCAUUGCCAACUAUCUUCCCUGAAUUCAUCACUUCCUCUCCUAGCUGCUGUUCCGUAAAAGCUUGGUCAGAUUUUUCUUGUUCCUCUUUUGCCUGUUGGAAGAUUUCUUCCAUGUCCUCAACAGACACUGGCCGAGGCCUGUUGAUUUGUCUUUUCAUAUUUCCAACCCUUGAACCAACAAAGCCACCAACUCCAUCGCACUCUCUUAUGAAGUCAUGUAACUCUUUGUUUAAUACACACCAUAGAAAAACACAUCCUGGAAAAAUCAGCUUUGGUUUAACUGAGUAAGUACCAUUUUUCAGUUUUGUCUUAACCUUGACAGAUGGAGCAUAAACCUUAAAUUCCAUUUCAGGAUAUUUCCUGGCCAGCAAGCGAGCUAUGAGCUCGGCGGUCUCGUCGCCUCUGACGCGAGAAACUCGAACAACCCACCACUGAGGGCCCAAAUCGGCCAGGUUAUCAAGGUUGAGGUCUUCCGACCCAGAAGUUCGCUUCUUCUUGGGCUUCUUGAUAAGCCUCUCUUCGACUUCUUCUCUCCAGUUGUAGCCGGCUUUGCUUUCUCUUCUUUCAUGCCUUAGUUGCCUUCUCUCUCUAGCUGUUAGCUCAUGUAUCUGGUUAUUAGUGGAGUCGAGAGUUGCUGUGAUUGAUGAAGAGGCGCGUUUUGUUCUAAGGAUUGGGAGGGAAAUGGAGGGGAGCGAGGACGGAGAGAGAGCGUGAUGGCAAGGACUCCACAGAAGAAGCCCCUGCUUCAUCUUUCAGUGUUGAUGAAGUUGCUGUGAAUCUGAUGUUGCUUUUGGAAGAAGUCCCGGUUGGCUUAUUUUUUU